ACGGAUAUGAUGAAAUUGGUAGACGUGUUAGAUUUAGAUUCUAAUGAUAAUAAUCGUGAGGGUUCGAAUCCCUCUAUCCGUA
Molecule: transfer RNA, 82 nt
Filed under: Gracilariophila oryzoides
Lineage: Eukaryota; Rhodophyta; Florideophyceae; Gracilariales; Gracilariaceae
Description: tRNA-Leu
Rfam family: tRNA
About the family: Transfer RNA (tRNA) molecules are approximately 80 nucleotides in length.
Source: RNAcentral